This is a long non-coding RNA of Spea bombifrons (plains spadefoot toad), 168 nucleotides long. RefSeq lists it as uncharacterized. The transcript has 2 exons. The record is from RefSeq and is a predicted model, not a curated record. NCBI's taxonomy places the organism in Eukaryota, Metazoa, Chordata, Amphibia, Anura, Pelobatidae.
UGGGCACUCCUCUAACUCCACCCACUUGUUUGGCCCGCACCGCCUCUUGUUACACCCCUAAACACAGAUGUGCCUAUUCGGAAACUAUAGUAAUUUCAUUCAGACUUCAAAUAAAGCAUGUGAAAUUUAAUUUCAUAUUCUCUCAUUUGUCAACAAGAAGAUACAUCA